UGGGGAAUUUUGGACAAUGGGCGCAAGCCUGAUCCAGCCAUGCCGCGUGAGUGAAGAAGGCCUUCGGGUUGUAAAGCUCUUUCAGUUGGGAAGAAAAGGGAGUCUCUAACAUAGGCUUUCGAUGACGGUACCGACAGAAGAAGCACCGGCUAACUACGUGCCAGCAGCCGCGGUAAUACGUAGGGUGCGAGCGUUAAUCGGAAUUACUGGGCGUAAAGCGUGCGCAGGCGGUUGUGUAAGACAGGUGUGAAAUCCCCGGGCUUAACCUGGGAAUGGCGCUUGUGACUGCACGGCUAGAGUACGGCAGAGGGGGGUGGAAUUCCACGUGUAGCAGUGAAAUGCGUAGAGAUGUGGAGGAACACCGAUGGCGAAGGCAGCCCCCUGGGCCGAUACUGACGCU
Molecule: ribosomal RNA, 400 nt
Filed under: uncultured bacterium
Lineage: Bacteria
Description: bacterial SSU rRNA
Rfam family: Bacterial small subunit ribosomal RNA
Source: RNAcentral